GUGCUCGCUUCUGCGGCACAUAAACUAAAAUUGGAACAACACAGAGAUCAGCACGGCCCUUGCGCCAGGAUGACACACAAAUUCGUGAAGUGUUCCAUUUUUUA
Molecule: small nuclear RNA, 104 nt
Organism: Pteronotus mesoamericanus
Lineage: Eukaryota; Metazoa; Chordata; Mammalia; Chiroptera; Mormoopidae
Source: RefSeq, a predicted model, not a curated record